GGUGGGGUUCCCGAGCGGCCAAAGGGAGCAGACUGUAAAUCUGCCGUCAUCGACUUCGAAGGUUCGAAUCCUUCCCCCCCCACCU
This 85-nucleotide transfer RNA is filed under the name Salmonella enterica. Its description in RNAcentral is "tRNA-Tyr". It matches the Rfam family "tRNA". From Rfam's summary of the family: Transfer RNA (tRNA) molecules are approximately 80 nucleotides in length. Their secondary structure includes four short double-helical elements and three loops (D, anti-codon, and T loops). The record is from RNAcentral. Lineage: Bacteria; Pseudomonadati; Pseudomonadota; Gammaproteobacteria; Enterobacterales; Enterobacteriaceae.